UGCCCAGCUCAUGGAGUUGCUCACUAUCAGUUGAAUAAAUGAAUGAAUUAGCUAUUAAUAUUUUUGUUAUUGUUAUUAUUAGUAUAAGCUUCUGUUUUGUCUAGGAAUUCUAAAAGCUAACCCAGGAUUGAGCCAGAAGGCUGCAGACUGCUUCAGAGUGGGCUCUUUUCAGGGUUAUUUUAUACAGUCACACUCUGGUGCGUUGUCAUCAGCCUAUACUGAGGGAAAAAUGCAUGUAUUGCUAGAAUAUUAUUGAGGAUAUUAUUCAUUAUUUUUGUGAUGUCCUCUUUGUGCAGACCAAUAGUGAAAUUUGUCUCUGCUGUCAGUUUCAGAAAUUUUCAGGCCAUCGGUUCAUUUUCGAUUUGUGAAUACUGGAACUCCAGUAGCUGAUGGUGUUUUCUUCCUUGUGUCAGCUGCCAGAAAGCAUAGAACAAAAUGUGUGUUCUAUCACUAGCAAGGAUGGCGUUUAUGCUAUGCACUGAUCUGUCCCUACGUGUUUGCUUUGCAACUGUUCUUUUCCCUUUGCCUUACUUUUGUUAAUUGUCUUAAAUUCGUGUUAUAUCAGUCUAGUGUCUUCAGUCCUUUUUUCUGAGAUGUAAAAGUUGAUCUAAAUUUUAGUAACAUUAAAGUUAGUAAGCUUUUUAUUAAUAAAAUUACUCUUAUGGAGAUGAUAAUAACAAUUUAGUAUUUAGAAAUGCUUUCCUAGUCAUAAUGUAUUCAGUUCUUACACAAGUGAUGAGAGACAGGCAGCCUAGGAAUUGUAUUUUCAUACUGUAGCCAGGGAAACUGAAGCAUAGAAUGAUCAUGUGCUUUACCCAAAUUUAAAUGGCUAACUAAACUGAGGAAGCCAGAGAGAAUCCAGACCUUCAAAUUGUUCCUCCAAAGAUCUCACUUUUGGUUGAUAUUCCUUCACUUGGCUCAACUUUUCUGGUUAGAUAAACAUUUUUCACAUAACGUCUGGCUCAGCAGCACUUCCAUUGGAUGACAUGUGGCUUCCAUUUUUGCCAUGGAAUUGCACCAUAUAUGAGUAUUUAACUUAGAGACAGACUUGAGAAUCAAAUUCAACUGCAGAAACAGAAUAGGGCCUGGGCUCUGGAGUCAAGACUGUCUGUGUUCAAAUCCUAGAUCUGCUAAUUACUAGCUGUAGAAGCCUAUGAAAGUUGCCCAACAUUUCUGUGCCCUAGUUUCUCACAUCAUCUAUAAAACAGAAAUGAAGAUACUAAGAAUACCUAGGUCAUUGGAUUGUUUGGAGAAGACAAUGAGAGGAUACAUUUAAAGCUCCUAGAACAGUACUGGGAACAUAGUAGGCACUGAACAAUUGUUAAUUGUUUUCUUAGACCAGGUCCCAGGGAAAUGAGCCAAACCUCAGCUUGUGUACUAAAAUAUAACAUAGUUAUUUGCAACUGGGAAGCAAGAGAGAAGAAUAAAAGAGAAAUGAAGUUGGGAUAAAAGUAAAGAAAAUGCAAGGUAGUAUGUUUUUAAGCUGGCCAUGAUGUCAUAAGAAAACAAAGAUGAAUGCUCAAUCUUGUGGGACUUCAUCCAUGUAGGCUAUAUGGAAUCACUGCAUUCAGGGACAGCCCAUUGAGCACAAGGGAGUAGAAGAGGUUUUUUUGUUUUUUUUUUUCUUAAUCCUUAUCUUCUGUUUCUCAUUGAUCAAAGUUCAGUCCGUGGGACAUUAACUCUCCUCUACUUCUAGCAGGUGGUGUUACCUGGCCAGAUCCCAUGUCCUCAGAUGUAGCAUGGGUCUCAUCUGAGCUCAGAAGUGUGAAGAACCAAAGCCUUUACAAGAAAAUCAAGGCACAGAAACUAAGAAAAUUGUCAAAGAUCUGACAGAGGCAGGAUUUAGAUCUAGCCCCUUGGAGCACGUGCAGUUGUUAUCCACAAUUGAGGCCAAACGACUUUGUAUGACUCAGGAAGGUCAAGCCUAACAGGUAAAAGAGUUGGGGUUCAAAACCAAGACAAUUUUGUUUCAGAGCUUAUCACUAUUCUAUGCUGUCUUCAUCAGAUGUAAAUAGUUUGCCCUUGACCUGCAGUAAUCUAUCUUACAGAAAUCCAUGGUAUGAGCAUUAUUGGUUAUACUCAAGUUAAAGUCAUCCACAGUAAAACUGAGAACUGCCUAUCAAUUUUGCUAAAGGACAUACUGUACUUCCUUAACUUGAGUCUCAACUUAGUGUUGACAUGGGGGAUCCUAUACGUCAAGAUUAUUUGCCUAUUAAACUUGUCAUCUGCUUUUAUAGAAAUUCAAGUUUAAUAUGUGGUAAGCCUCAGAAAGCCGUACAUGCUUUGAUAUGCUUAGAGAUUUUCCAGGUGUUCAAAUGAUAGUGAAGACCGGUAGACCGGUCUUAACUUUCCACUGAAACAUUUAACCAGAACAGUCUCUGGGUCUGAGUCUUUCCUUUUUGGGAUGUAACAGGGAAACGAGUAGACAGAAUGUCUGUCUAAUUGCCGUUUCUCCAAACACCACUGUCAUGUCUCUGGGCCAUUCCUCAAGCUAUUCCCUUUUACUGGAAUUAUUUUCACUCGUUUCACUAUCUGACUAAAUCCUUUUGAGUCUUAAAGAUCUGGCUCAACCCUUACUUUUUCCUGUGAAAACUUCCCAACCCUUUUCCUCUGGACUGCGACUAACCAUACUCUUUGCAAGAAUGAGUAACUUCUGUGCUUUCACUUUUUUAUACGUCUAUUACAGAAUCUUUCAUUAUGUA
Long non-coding RNA from Cercocebus atys (sooty mangabey), 2702 nucleotides. RefSeq lists it as uncharacterized. The transcript has 3 exons. Lineage: Eukaryota; Metazoa; Chordata; Mammalia; Primates; Cercopithecidae. The record is from RefSeq and is a predicted model, not a curated record.